Molecule: ribosomal RNA, 468 nt
Filed under: uncultured bacterium
Lineage: Bacteria
Description: partial 16S ribosomal RNA
Rfam family: Bacterial small subunit ribosomal RNA
Source: RNAcentral
GAUGAACGCUGGCGGCGUGCUUAAUACAUGCAAGUCGAACGGACAGGCCCUGCUUUUGUGGGGUGCUCGAGUGGCGAACGGGUGAGUAACACGUGAGUAUCCUGUCCUUGUCUUUGGGAUAACUUCAGGAAACUGCGGCUAUUAUCGGAUAGGAGCUCCUGCUGCAUGGUGGGGGUUGGAAAGUUUCGGCGGUUGGGGAUGGACUCGCGGCUUAUCAGCUUGUUGGUGGGGUAGUGGCUUACCAAGGCUUCGACGGGUAGCCGGCCUGAGAGGGUGACCGGCCACAUUGGGACUGAGAUACGGCCCAGACUCCUACGGGAGGCAGAAGGGGGGAAUAUUGCAGAAUGGGCGGAAGCCUGAGGCAGCAACGCCGCGUGCGGGAUGACGGCCUUCGGGUUAUAAACCGCUUUCGCCUGUGACGAAGCGUGAGUGACGGUAAUGAGUAAAGAAGCACCGGCUAACUACGUG